RNAcentral lists this small RNA (28 nucleotides) under Bombyx mori (domestic silkworm). RNAcentral's name for it is "ovarian small RNA-33866". The record is from RNAcentral. Lineage: Eukaryota; Metazoa; Arthropoda; Insecta; Lepidoptera; Bombycidae.
UGCCUGGAUCGUCAUGGAAACCCGACUC